AGCGCGUGAGGGGACUGGGGCGCAGUCGCCGCCCUGCUUAGGACGCGCGCCUGAGGGCACACGGGGAACUCGAAAACAUGAUUGUACUUGAGAAAGUUACUAACAACUUCCCGAUAUCAUCCAAGAACAUGAGCUGCAGGUUUUCACACCUUAAACUGAGGCUGUCUUUGUAUCUCCAAGUGGACCUGCUCAGGAGACAUCAACAACCCUCACACGCAUUAGGAAGGCCUCUGACCUUGGAGUCUAGCAAAUCCUGAUCUUAAAAUCUUCAGUGGAGCUGCUGUGAGCAUCUUCCAGUCAACUCAGACCCCAGCUGGAGGGGAUGUCAGCGU
Long non-coding RNA from Bos taurus (domestic cattle), 332 nucleotides. The record is from Ensembl. NCBI's taxonomy places the organism in Eukaryota, Metazoa, Chordata, Mammalia, Artiodactyla, Bovidae.